Molecule: ribosomal RNA, 496 nt
Filed under: uncultured Actinomycetes bacterium
Lineage: Bacteria; Bacillati; Actinomycetota; Actinomycetes
Description: bacterial SSU rRNA
Rfam family: Bacterial small subunit ribosomal RNA
Source: RNAcentral
AGAGUUUGAUCAUGGCUCAGGACGAACGCUGGCGGCGUGCUUAACACAUGCAAGUCGAGCGGAAAGGCCCUUCGGGGUACUCGAGCGGCGAACGGGUGAGUAACACGUGAGCAACCUGCCCUUGGCUUUGGGAUAACCCUCGGAAACGGGGGCUAAUACCGAAUAUCCAUCUUUCAUCGCAUGGUGGUUGGUGGAAAGUUUUUCGGCCAGGGAUGGGCUUGCGGCCUAUCAGCUUGUUGGUGGGGUGAUGGCCUACCAAGGCGACGACGGGUAGCCGGCCUGAGAGGGCGACCGGCCACACUGGGACUGAGACACGGCCCAGACUCCUACGGGAGGCAGCAGUGGGGAAUAUUGCACAAUGGGCGGAAGCCUGAUGCAGCGACGCCGCGUGAGGGAUGACGGCCUUCGGGUUGUAAACCUCUUUCAGCAGGGACGAAGCGAAAGUGACGGUACCUGCAGAAGAAGCGCCGGCCACUACGUGCCAGCAGCCGCGGUA